RNAcentral lists this small RNA (33 nucleotides) under Arabidopsis thaliana (thale cress). RNAcentral's name for it is "ATSL240770". Lineage: Eukaryota; Viridiplantae; Streptophyta; Magnoliopsida; Brassicales; Brassicaceae. The record is from RNAcentral.
GAAUUCUUACCACUAAACUACAGCCACUUUGUU